RNAcentral lists this ribosomal RNA (271 nucleotides) under uncultured prokaryote. Its description in RNAcentral is "partial 16S ribosomal RNA". It matches the Rfam family "Bacterial small subunit ribosomal RNA", at positions 524 to 794 of the family's 1533-position model. The record is from RNAcentral.
UACGGAGGAUCCGAGCGUUAUCCGGAUUUAUUGGGUUUAAAGGGUGCGUAGGCGGGAGAUUAAGUCGGUGGUGAAAUUUUGCAGCUCAACUGUAAAAGUGCCAUUGAUACUGGUUUCCUUGAGUGUGGAUGAAGUAGGCGGAAUUUGUGGUGUAGCGGUGAAAUGCAUAGAUAUCACGAGGAACUCCGAUUGCGCAGGCAGCUUACUAAACUACUACUGACGCUCAGGCACGAAGGCGUGGGGAUCAAACAGGAUUAGAUACCCGGGUAGU